This is a long non-coding RNA of Arabidopsis thaliana (thale cress), 212 nucleotides long. RefSeq annotates it as other RNA. The transcript has a single exon. The record is from RefSeq. Lineage: Eukaryota; Viridiplantae; Streptophyta; Magnoliopsida; Brassicales; Brassicaceae.
CCCGAAAGGGGAUGGUUGUCUGCAAAUAUUAAAUUCCGAUUCUAUCCUUUUGUUUUUAAUGACUAAUGUAACCUCUAUGUGAUGAUAAUGUGAUUGAGGAAUGAAGGGUAAAAUGGUAAAGAGAGAAAAAGAGGAGUGAGGAGGGGACAAGAAAGCGGCAUUCCAAGUCGGUUUGCCGGGUGGUGAAUGGGACAUCUAACCUCUUCCACUUU